GACGGAGGGGGCUAGCGUUAUUCGGAAUUAUUGGGCGUAAAGGGUGUGUAGACGGCUUUUUAAGUCAUCCGUGAAAUUCUCCAGCCUAACUGGAGGGGGUCGGAUGAUACUGAUCGGCUUGAGGGUGGAAGAGAGAAGUGGAAUUCUCGGAGUAGCGGUAAAAUGCGUAGAUCUCGAGAGGAACACCGAUGGCGAAGGCAGCUUCUUGGUCCACUCCUGACGUUGUGGCACGAAAGCGUGGGGAGCAAACAGG
Molecule: ribosomal RNA, 253 nt
Filed under: uncultured bacterium
Lineage: Bacteria
Description: partial 16S ribosomal RNA
Rfam family: Bacterial small subunit ribosomal RNA
Source: RNAcentral